RNAcentral lists this non-coding RNA (30 nucleotides) under Homo sapiens (human). The record is from RNAcentral. Lineage: Eukaryota; Metazoa; Chordata; Mammalia; Primates; Hominidae.
UGAAUAGAUAAGCUAUCUUUUCUGGAUUGC